CGUAAGGGACAGGUGCGCAAAGCACAGGAAGGAUGGGUCAAGGACAGGUCAGUGAUGCCCUUAGAUGGUCCGGGCUGCACGCGCACUACAGUGGUCGCCGAAAUUACCUGAUAAUUUUAAAGGCGAUCGAGAGGGAAUGAGCUUUGUAAGAGGCUCAGGAACGAGGAAUUGCUAGUAAUCGCGGACUCAUUAAGACGCGAUGAAUACGUCCCUGUUCUUUGUACACACCGCCCGUCGUUAUCGAAGAUGAAGACAGGCGCGAACGAUCUUACCAGAAAGUGAGCGCAGGUCUUUAGAUCUGAUACAAGUCGUAACAAGGUAGCUGUAGGAGAACCUGUAGCUGG
Molecule: ribosomal RNA, 344 nt
Filed under: Loma kenti
Lineage: Eukaryota; Fungi; Microsporidia; Glugeidae
Description: SSU rRNA
Rfam family: Microsporidia small subunit ribosomal RNA
Source: RNAcentral